Molecule: long non-coding RNA, 1032 nt
Filed under: Apteryx owenii (little spotted kiwi)
Lineage: Eukaryota; Metazoa; Chordata; Aves; Apterygiformes; Apterygidae
Description: lncRNA (ENSAOWG00000014981.1)
Source: RNAcentral
UUCUGAAACAAAGAGAAGGUAUGGCAAGGCUCAAAAAAAAUAAAGAGAACCUUUUAAAAGAACAGAGAAAGCAUUCCAGAAGAGCUGGUUUUGACUGCUGGAGUCACUUCUCCUGGCCUGGCCCAGGGCAUGCAGGCAUACUGCAGCUAGGGAAAUGCCCUCAGUUAAAUCUGCAGGCCAGAAGCUCCAUGCAGAUGGGUGCACGUGAACAACAAGCAAAUUGUGCUUUAGAUGAGAGGGAAGUGAAGGCUCAGACUGAAUGUGAAGCAAAAGCAGCUGAGCAAAGUGCAGAAGAAAGAGAAGGGAUUGGGAGAGAUGAGAAUACAAAGGGGAGUCCUACUGCCUCAUCUCAAAUAAACUGGCCUGAACUCCUGCAACGCUAUCAUGAAACAGUAACAGAAAUGAACCUACGAGUAAGUGAGGAAAGUGUAACUCAUCAUACAGAUCCUCUAGAGGAAGCAAACAGAACUGAAGGAAGACCUAUGGAGGGUACUGUGCAAAAGGAUGUAGGUAUAGUGGACCAGCCUUUGACGGGUGAUCUCACAAACAGAGCAGAAACCCCCUUUGAAGUCCUACAAAGGCAUUCUCCACUUAAGAAUUUAGAAGGAUGCCAAAUCAGGCAGGCAGAAGGGAGUGCAGCCCCUUCAUUCAAACAGAUUCAGAAGUGGGGUCAAAUAUGUCCUGAGGAACUUGUCACAGGGAGCCAGAGCUCAGAAAGCAAAAGAGGAGUCUGUACUGGGUUUAAGAUGGUCAAUGAUAAGAUAGUAAAAAUUGCCCAUAGCUCACCGCAGGCUGUGGAGAAGAAAAGCUCAUCCCUGGCAUUCCAGCAGGGAUGGCAAAGGAACGGCACAGCCGCACCGAUGUGCCAUGUUGCAUCUUUGUCCUGUGAGUCAAGCUUCUUAUCUUCCGACAGUGAUGAUGACCUCAAAUCUCACCAUGGUUGUUAUGCCUUGAACUGUGGGGCUCAGGGGGUAGACUGUACUGGCAGGUGUUUGGAUUUCUGUGAUGGGGAUUAUGCCAGUGAUGAGCCCA